AUUGAACGCUGGCGGCAGGCCUAACACAUGCAAGUCGAACGAGUGGCGGACGGGUGAGUAAUGUCUGGGAAACUGCCCGAUGGAGGGGGAUAACUACUGGAAACGGUAGCUAAUACCGCAUACCAUCGGAUGUGCCCAGAUGGGAUUAGCUUGUAGGUGAGGUAACGGCCCAACUAGGCGACGAUCCCUAGCUGGUCUGAGAGGAUGACCAGCCACACGGGAACUGGUACACGGUCCACACUCCUACGGUAGGGAGCAGUGGGGAAUAUUGCACAAUGUGCGCAAGUCUGAUGCAGCCAGGCCGCGUGUAUGAAGAAUGCCUUCGGGUUGUAAAGUACUUGCAGCGGGGAGGCGUUACCCGCAGAAGAAGCACCGGUUAACUCCGUGCCAGCAGCCGCGGUAAUUC
RNAcentral lists this ribosomal RNA (406 nucleotides) under uncultured bacterium. RNAcentral's name for it is "partial 16S ribosomal RNA". It matches the Rfam family "Bacterial small subunit ribosomal RNA", at positions 30 to 526 of the family's 1533-position model. The record is from RNAcentral.